RNAcentral lists this ribosomal RNA (868 nucleotides) under uncultured Planctomycetota bacterium. RNAcentral describes it as "bacterial SSU rRNA". It matches the Rfam family "Bacterial small subunit ribosomal RNA", at positions 58 to 929 of the family's 1533-position model. Lineage: Bacteria; Pseudomonadati; Planctomycetota. The record is from RNAcentral.
CAAGUCGAACGAAUCCCAGCUUUGUAGCAAUACCGAGCUGGGGGAAGUGGCGAAAGGGGCAGUAAUGCGUGGGUAACCUACCCCGGGGACGGGGAUAGCUAUUCUAACGAGUAGGUAAUACCUGGCGAUUUGGUCGAGGGGCAUCCCUUGGCCAGGAAAUGAGUUUCGCCUCGGGAGGGGCUCACGUGAUAUUAGCUAGUUGGUGGGGUAACGGCCUACCAAGGCAAAGAUGUCUAGCGGGUGUGAGAGCACGACCCGCGCCACUGGCACUGAGACACUGGCCAGACACCUACGGGUGGCUGCAGUCGAGGAUCUUUGGCAAUGAGCGCAAGCUUGACCAAGCGACGCCGCGUGUGCGAUGAAGGCCUUCGGGUUGUAAAGCACUGUCGAGGGGGACGAAGCCGCAAGGUUGACCGAUCCCUGGAGGAAGCACGGGCUAAGUUCGUGCCAGCAGCCGCGGUAAGACGAACCGUGCGAACGUUGUUCGGAAUCACUGGGCUUAAAGGGCGCGUAGGCGGCUUGCCAAGUCGGGGGUGAAAUCCGGCAGCUUAACUGUCGAAGUGCCUUCGAUACUGGCAAGCUCGAGGGAGGUAGGGGUCUGUGGAACUUCUGGUGGAGCGGUGAAAUGCGUUGAUAUCAGAAGGAACGCCGGUGGCGAAAGCGACGGACUGGACCUCUUCUGACGCUGAGGCGCGAAAGCUAGGGGAGCAAACGGGAUUAGAUACCCCGGUAGUCCUAGCCCUAAACGAUGGGUACUAGAUUGUAGACUAACAUGGGUUUACAAUCGAAGCAAAAGUGUUAAGUACCCCGCCUGGGGAGUAUGGUCGCAAGGCUGAAACUCAAAGGAAUUGACGGGGGCUCACACAGC